GCCGACGUGGCUCAUUGGUAGAGCAGCGGAUUGUCUAUCCGCCUCAUGAGAGUUCGAUUCUCUUCGUCGGCGCCA
This 75-nucleotide transfer RNA is filed under the name Burkholderiales bacterium. RNAcentral describes it as "tRNA-Asp". It matches the Rfam family "tRNA". From Rfam's summary of the family: Transfer RNA (tRNA) molecules are approximately 80 nucleotides in length. Their secondary structure includes four short double-helical elements and three loops (D, anti-codon, and T loops). Lineage: Bacteria; Pseudomonadati; Pseudomonadota; Betaproteobacteria; Burkholderiales. RNAcentral also lists the same sequence under 3 other names. The record is from RNAcentral.